AACUUCAGGAGCUUCAGGAUGAGAUCAGAGAGAGCAAGCUCCAGCUAGACCAGCAGGAAAUGGUGUUUCAAAAACUCCAGAAAGAAAGAGAAAGUGAGGAGCAGAAGUUAGUGGCUAGCAUAGUGUCGCUGGAGCAGCAGCAGGGACAGCUGGAGAGGGAGCUGAUGGACCAGAAAAGCAAGCUGGAGUGGCUGCUCACAGACGUGUCGGCCGCUGAAGGACGCCUCAGGACCCUGCAGAAAGAGGAGCGGUGCACUGAGAGCCUGGAGAAGAUGCUGUCCCAGGCCACAGCUUUCAGAGCGGGAGCAGCAGCUGAUGGAGAAGUCGGGUGACCUGCUGGCCCUGCAGAAAGAGGCCGAUGGCAUGAGGGCAGACUUCAGCCUACUGAGAAACCAGUUCUUAACAGAAAGGAAGAAGGCAGAGAAGCAGGUGGCUGGGCUGAAGGAGGCACUGAAGAUCC
This 460-nucleotide long non-coding RNA is filed under the name Rattus norvegicus (Norway rat). RNAcentral describes it as "long non-coding RNA NONRATT018065". Lineage: Eukaryota; Metazoa; Chordata; Mammalia; Rodentia; Muridae. The record is from RNAcentral.